This 573-nucleotide ribosomal RNA is filed under the name Rhodosporidiobolus nylandii. RNAcentral describes it as "eukaryotic LSU rRNA". It matches the Rfam family "Eukaryotic large subunit ribosomal RNA", at positions 62 to 648 of the family's 3401-position model. Lineage: Eukaryota; Fungi; Basidiomycota; Microbotryomycetes; Sporidiobolales; Sporidiobolaceae. The record is from RNAcentral.
AAACUGACAAGGAUUCCCCUAGUAGCGGCGAGCGAAGCGGGAAGAGCUCAAAUUUAUAAUCUGGCGCUUUCAGCGUCCGAGUUGUAAUCUCUAGAAGUGUUUUCCGCGUUGGACCGCACACAAGUCUGUUGGAAUACAGCGGCACAGUGGUGAGACCCCCGUAUACGGUGCGGAUGCCCAAUGCUUUGUGAUACACUUUCGAAGAGUCGAGUUGUUUGGGAAUGCAGCUCAAAUUGGGUGGUAAAUUCCAUCUAAAGCUAAAUAUUGGCGAGAGACCGAUAGCGAACAAGUACCGUGAGGGAAAGAUGAAAAGCACUUUGGAAAGAGAGUUAACAGUACGUGAAAUUGUUGGAAGGGAAACGCUUGAAGUCAGACUUGCUAUUCGGGUUUACUCGAGUUGCAGGCCAGCAUCAGUUUUCUGGGGGUGGAAAAUCACGGUUUGAAGGUAGCAACUUCGGUUGUGUUAUAGCUUUCCGUUGGAUACAUCCUGGGGGACUGAGGAUCGCAGUGUGCUUUUAGCAGGAGCUUCGGCUUCAUCACACUUAGGAUGCUGGUGUAAUGGCUUUAAACGAC